CGGACGGGUGAGUAACGCGUGAGAAUCUGGCUUCAGGUCUGGGACAACCAUUGGAAACGGUGGCUAAUACCGGAUGUGCCGAAGGGUGAAAGGUUAACUGCCUGAAGAUGAGCUCGCGUCUGAUUAGCUAGUUGGUAGAGUAAAAGCCUACCAAGGCGACGAUCAGUAGCUGGUCUGAGAGGACGAUCAGCCACACUGGGACUGAGACACGGCCCAGACUCCUACGGGAGGCAGCAGUGGGGAAUUUUCCGCAAUGGGCGAAAGCCUGACGGAGCAAUACCGCGUGAGGGAGGAAGGCUCUUGGGUCGUAAACCUCUUUUCUCAGGGAAGAACACAAUGACGGUACCUGAGGAAUAAGCAUCGGCUAACUCCGUGCCAGCAGCCGCGGUAAUACGGAGGAUGCAAGCGUUAUCCGGAAUGAUUGGGCGUAAAGCGUCCGCAGGUGGCAAUGUAAGUCUGCUGUUAAAGAGUCUAGCUCAACUAGAUAAGAGCAGUGGAAACUACAUAGCUAGAGUACGUUCGGGGCAGAGGGAAUUCCUGGUGUAGCGGUGAAAUGCGUAGAGAUCAGGAAGAACACCAGUGGCGAAGGCGCUCUGCUAGGCCGUAACUGACACUGAGGGACGAAAGCUAGGGGAGCGAAUGGGAUUAGAUACCCCAGUAGUC
RNAcentral lists this ribosomal RNA (663 nucleotides) under uncultured cyanobacterium. RNAcentral's name for it is "bacterial SSU rRNA". It matches the Rfam family "Bacterial small subunit ribosomal RNA", at positions 99 to 795 of the family's 1533-position model. Lineage: Bacteria; Bacillati; Cyanobacteriota. The record is from RNAcentral.